AUUGAACGCUAGCGGGAUGCCUUACACAUGCAAGUCGAACGGCAGCGCGGACUUCGGUCUAGCGGCGAGUGGCGAACGGGUGAGUAAUGUAUCGGAACGCGCCCAGUAGCGGGGGAUAACUACUCGAAAGAGUAGCUAAUACCGCAUACGCCCUACGGGGGAAAGGGGGGGAUCGCAAGACCUCCCACUACUUGAGCGGCCGAUAUCGGAUUAGCUAGUUGGUGAGGUAAAGGCUAACCAAGGCGACGAUCCGUAGCUGGUUUGAGAGGACGACCAGCCACACUGGGACUGAGACACGGCCCAGACUCCUACGGGAGGCAGCAGUGGGGAAUUUUGGACAAUGGGGGCAACCCUGAUCCAGCCAUUCCGCGUGUGCGAUGAAGGCCUUCGGGUUGUAAAGCACUUUUGGCAGGAAAGAAAUCGCACGGAUUAAUACUCUGUGUGGAUGACGGUACCUGCAGAAUAAGCACCGGCUAACUACGUGCCAGCCGCCGCCGUAA
Molecule: ribosomal RNA, 500 nt
Filed under: uncultured bacterium
Lineage: Bacteria
Description: partial 16S ribosomal RNA
Rfam family: Bacterial small subunit ribosomal RNA
Source: RNAcentral